UCUCCGUUGGUGAACCAGCGGAGGGAUCAUUACCGAGUUAUACAACUCAUCAACCCUGUGAACAUACCUAAACGUUGCUUCGGCGGGAAUAGACGGCCCCGUAAAACGGGCCGCCCCCGCCAGAGGACCCCUAACUCUGUUUCUAUAAUGUUUCUUCUGAGUAAAACAAGCAAAUAAAUUAAAACUUUCAACAACGGAUCUCUUGGCUCUGGCAUCGAUGAAGAACGCAGCGAAAUGCGAUAAGUAAUGUGAAUUGCAGAAUUCAGUGAAUCAUCGAAUCUUUGAACGCACAUUGCGCCCGCCAGUAUUCUGGCGGGCAUGCCUGUUCGAGCGUCAUUACAACCCUCAGGCCCCCGGGCCUGGCGUUGGGGAUCGGCGGAGCCCCCCGUGGGCACACGCCGUCCCCCAAAUACAGUGGCGGUCCCGCCGCAGCUUCCAUCGCGUAGUAGCUAACACCUCGCGACUGGAGAGCGGCGCGGCCACGCCGUAAAACACCCAACUCUUCUGAAGUUGACCUCGAAUCAGGUAGGAAUACCCGCUGAACUUAA
This is a ribosomal RNA of 548 nucleotides. The stretch from base 183 to 336 matches the Rfam family "5.8S ribosomal RNA".